CAACAUGUUAUGAACACAUAAGCAGAACAUUGUGGGCAAUGGUAUCCUGAGGAUGGGUCAACGCAGAGUACUCUGGCAAGCUUCAUGAUGGCUCAACCUGCAGCCCCUCAAUGCUCUCCUAAAUAUGACUAAGGGGGCACGCCCCUGAAAUGCCGUUGCGGCCAAGGCGUGAACAGGAAGAAUAUCUCAGCUCAUACUAGUCUGUAUCUGCUAUCAAGCUUGUUGUUACAGAUUGUAUAAGAAGUCUUGCAAUAAAAAGAAAAAGAAAGCAUGAAGUGAACUUCGUAAUCAUGUUCCGUGGCUGUAGUAGCUUUGGGCUGCUCUUGUUCCUGUGACUUGCCCCCUGUGUGCCAAGUUGGACUUUGCUUAUUGAAUAGGCCCAAUGGUUUGUUUUGCAGCUCAACACAUCCCUCUUUUUCAAGCAGAGUGAUCACCAUCCUUAUAAGGUUCUUGUGUAAUUCAGUUUGUGGAUCACCUCACAUUGUAUCUGGUGAGUGUUAAUGAUUUUAGCCAAGAUUGUAUAUGGUGGACCUAACUGUACCCACUUCUACAACUUAGCUUCUUAUGAUUUACCCGCCAGAAACUUGAGUGAAAUAUGUAGUACACAAAGAGGUUACUUUAAAUGUAUUUGACAUAUUUACAGAAAUAUAUCAGCAGGUAAAAAACUGAUUAAGGGUCUAUUUACACGUACAGUCUCCGGCACAUAUUUGAUGCUGCAGAUUUGAAGCUGUGUUCACUCAUUUAGUUUACAUUGAAAUCUGCAGCAUAAAAUAUGUGUGUGUGAAUAGUAUGUGUAUGUGUGAAUAGACCCUAAAUAUAACAGUAUUGACAAUAUGUAAAAAGGUUUACCCAUCCUAUAAAAAUUGAUGGGCUUAUCCUGAGGAUAUCAGGUCAGCAGGGGUUCGACUCCCAAACAAUCAGCUAUGUGAAGGGGGCUACAGUGGUUGUGCGAGCAUUGCAGCCUCUUUACUACUGCUCGUCUUUGCCAUCGUUAUAAGUAUUGGCUGUGCAAGGAUCUAGUGAAUUGGAACAACGCUGCAGUUUCUUGCACCACUGCAAAUAAAAGUGUGACAAAAGCAAGGUCCAGUGCAGGUAAAUGGUGGUUGAGUCACUUGUAUUAGCACCAAAGUCUCUUCAAACAGCUGUUCGGUGGGAGUGCUGGAAGUUCUUGUUCUAAAUAUCUGAAGCAUAGGCUGACAAUUUUUAUAUACUCGCAGCAGGGAGGGGAGGAAUUACAAAGUUGACUCGAAGUACGGUACUUCACUUACAUGAAAAGCAUGUCACAAACAAAGUAAAAACAUCUUUUAAAAAAUCAGGCCAAAAAAACAUGGGCACAUGUAAAAAUUAAUAAAUGACCUACAUAAAGGUUGCCUUUAUAAGUACAAAAAAGCUUAACGAGUCUCAGUAAAUGAUCACAUCU
Hyla sarda is the source of this 1420-nucleotide long non-coding RNA. RefSeq lists it as uncharacterized. The record is from RefSeq and is a predicted model, not a curated record. The transcript is spliced from 4 exons. Lineage: Eukaryota; Metazoa; Chordata; Amphibia; Anura; Hylidae.